CGAAGAUUAGCCUGGCUCCUGCAGAAGGAUGACAUGCAAAUUCGUGAAGCAUUCCAUAUUUUU
RNAcentral lists this small nuclear RNA (63 nucleotides) under Moschus moschiferus (Siberian musk deer). The record is from RNAcentral. Lineage: Eukaryota; Metazoa; Chordata; Mammalia; Artiodactyla; Moschidae.